UACGUAGGGGGCGAGCGUUGUCCGGAAUCAUUGGGCGUAAAGAGCGUGUAGGCGGUCCGGUAAGUCCGUUGUGAAAGUCAAGGGCUCAACCCUUGAAUGCCGGCGGAUACUGUCGGGCUAGAGUCCGGAAGAGGCAAGUGGAAUUCCCGGUGUAGCGGUGAAAUGCGCAGAUAUCGGGAGGAACACCUAUGGCGAAGGCAGCUUGCUGGGACGGUACUGACGCUGAGACGCGAAAGCGUGGGGAGCAAACAGG
RNAcentral lists this ribosomal RNA (253 nucleotides) under uncultured bacterium. RNAcentral describes it as "partial 16S ribosomal RNA". It matches the Rfam family "Bacterial small subunit ribosomal RNA", at positions 524 to 776 of the family's 1533-position model. The record is from RNAcentral.